AUUGAACGCUGGCGGCAUGCCUUACACAUGCAAGUCGAACGGCAGCACGGGAGCAAUCCUGGUGGCGAGUGGCGAACGGGUGAGUAAUAUAUCGGAACGUGCCCAGUCGUGGGGGAUAACGCAGCGAAAGCUGUGCUAAUACCGCAUACGAUCUAUGGAUGAAAGCGGGGGAUCGCAAGACCUCGCGCGAUUGGAGCGGCCGAUAUCAGAUUAGCUAGUUGGUGAGGUAAAGGCUCACCAAGGCGACGCUCUGUAGCUGGUCUGAGAGGACGAACAGCCACACGGGAACUGAGACACGGUCCAGACUCCUACGGGAGGCAGCAGUGGGGAAUUUUGGACAAUGGGCGCAAGCCUGAUCCAGCAAUGCCGCGUGCAGGAUGAAGGCCUUCGGGUUGUAAACUGCUUUUGUACGGAGCGAAACGGCCUACCCUAAUACGGUGGGCUAAUGACGGUACCGUAAGAAUAAGCACCGGCUAACUACGUGCCAGCAGCCGCCGCGG
RNAcentral lists this ribosomal RNA (500 nucleotides) under uncultured bacterium. RNAcentral describes it as "partial 16S ribosomal RNA". It matches the Rfam family "Bacterial small subunit ribosomal RNA", at positions 30 to 523 of the family's 1533-position model. The record is from RNAcentral.